RNAcentral lists this ribosomal RNA (400 nucleotides) under uncultured bacterium. Its description in RNAcentral is "partial 16S ribosomal RNA". It matches the Rfam family "Bacterial small subunit ribosomal RNA", at positions 338 to 734 of the family's 1533-position model. The record is from RNAcentral.
CCUACGGGUGGCAGCAGUGAGGAAUAUUGGUCAAUGGGCGCAAGCCUGAACCAGCCAAGUCGCGUGAGGGAUGACGGUCCUAUGGAUUGUAAACCUCUUUUGUCGGGGAGCAAGGCCCGCCACGUGUGGCGGGAAGGAGAGUACCCGAAGAAAAAGCAUGGGCUAACUCCGUCACAGCCGCCGAGGUAAUACGGAGGAUGGGAGCGUUAUCCGGAUUUAUUGGGGUUAAGGGGUGCGGGGGCGGAAGGUUAAGUCAGUGGUGAAAUGUCGGGGCUCAACCCGGGAAUGGCAUUGAAACCGGGUAGUGUGGAGUAUAGUAGAGGGGGGCGGAAGGCGGGGUGUAGCGGUGAAAUGCGUAGAGAGCACGAAGAAUACCGAUGGCGAAGGCGGUUCACUGGAC